Molecule: ribosomal RNA, 492 nt
Filed under: uncultured bacterium
Lineage: Bacteria
Description: partial 16S ribosomal RNA
Rfam family: Bacterial small subunit ribosomal RNA
Source: RNAcentral
AGUGAACGCUGGCGGUAGGCCUAACACAUGCAAGUCGAACGGCAGCACAGUAAGAGCUUGCUCUUACGGGUGGCGAGUGGCGGACGGGUGAGGAAUACAUCGGAAUCUACUUUUUCGUGGGGGAUAACGUGGGGAAACUUACGCUAAUACCGCAUACGACCUACGGGUGAAAGCAGGGGAUCUUCGGACCUCGCGCGAUUGAAUGCGCCGAUGUCGGAUUAGCUAGUUGGCGGGGUAAAGGCCCACCAAGGCGACGAUCCGUAGCUGGUCUGAGAGGAUGAUCAGCCACACUGGAACUGAGACACGGUCCAGACUCCUACGGGAGGCAGCAGUGGGGAAUAUUGGACAAUGGGCGCAAGCCUGAUCCAGCCAUACCGCGUGGGUGAAGAAGGCCUUCGGGUUGUAAAGCCCUUUUGUUGGGAAAGAAAAGCAGCAGGUUAAUACCCCGCUGUUCUGACGGUACCCAAAGAAUAAGCACCGGCUAACUUCGUG